Molecule: ribosomal RNA, 163 nt
Filed under: Helotiales sp.
Lineage: Eukaryota; Fungi; Ascomycota; Leotiomycetes; Helotiales
Description: partial large subunit ribosomal RNA
Rfam family: Eukaryotic large subunit ribosomal RNA
Source: RNAcentral
CGGUAACAGCUCAAAUUUGAAAUCUGGCUCUUUCAGGGUCCGAGUUGUAAUUUGUAGACGAUGCUUUGGGUGUGGUGCCGGUCUAAGUUCCUUGGAACAGGACGUCAUAGAGGGUGAGAGCCCCGUACGGUUGGAUGCCUAGCCUCUGUGAAACUCCUUCGAC